GCACGCGUAGCUUAAUGCAAAGCAUAACACUGAAGAUGUUAAGAAGGGCCCUAGAAAGCUCCGCAUGCA
Molecule: transfer RNA, 69 nt
Filed under: Pseudorhodeus tanago (Tokyo bitterling)
Lineage: Eukaryota; Metazoa; Chordata; Actinopteri; Cypriniformes; Acheilognathidae
Description: tRNA-Phe
Rfam family: tRNA
About the family: Transfer RNA (tRNA) molecules are approximately 80 nucleotides in length. Their secondary structure includes four short double-helical elements and three loops (D, anti-codon, and T loops).
Source: RNAcentral